This 791-nucleotide ribosomal RNA is filed under the name Salmonella enterica. RNAcentral describes it as "partial 23S ribosomal RNA". It matches the Rfam family "Bacterial large subunit ribosomal RNA", at positions 405 to 1194 of the family's 2925-position model. The record is from RNAcentral. Lineage: Bacteria; Pseudomonadati; Pseudomonadota; Gammaproteobacteria; Enterobacterales; Enterobacteriaceae.
UCGAUGAGUAGGGCGGGACACGUGGUAUCCUGUCUGAAUAUGGGGGGACCAUCCUCCAAGGCUAAAUACUCCUGACUGACCGAUAGUGAACCAGUACCGUGAGGGAAAGGCGAAAAGAACCCCGGCGAGGGGAGUGAAACAGAACCUGAAACCGUGUACGUACAAGCAGUGGGAGCCUCUCUUUAUGGGGGGUGACUGCGUACCUUUUGUAUAAUGGGUCAGCGACUUAUAUUCUGUAGCAAGGUUAACCGCAUAGGGGAGCCGAAGGGAAACCGAGUCUUAAUUGGGCGUUAAGUUGCAGGGUAUAGACCCGAAACCCGGUGAUCUAGCCAUGGGCAGGUUGAAGGUUGGGUAACACUAACUGGAGGACCGAACCGACUAAUGUUGAAAAAUUAGCGGAUGACCUGUGGCUGGGGGUGAAAGGCCAAUCAAACCGGGAGAUAGCUGGUUCUCCCCGAAAGCUAUUUAGGUAGCGCCUCGUGAAUUCAUCUCCGGGGGUAGAGCACUGUUUCGGCUAGGGGGCCAUCCCGGCUUACCAACCCGAUGCAAACUGCGAAUACCGGAGAAUGUUAUCACGGGAGACACACGGCGGGUGCUAACGUCCGUCGUGAAGAGGGAAACAACCCAGACCGCCAGCUAAGGUCCCAAAGUCAUGGUUAAGUGGGAAACGAUGUGGGAAGGCCCAGACAGCCAGGAUGUUGGCUUAGAAGCAGCCAUCAUUUAAAGAAAGCGUAAUAGCUCACUGGUCGAGUCGGCCUGCGCGGAAGAUGUAACGGGGCUAAACCAUGCAC